This 524-nucleotide long non-coding RNA is filed under the name Cricetulus griseus (Chinese hamster). RNAcentral describes it as "lncRNA (ENSCGRG00015041086.1)". The record is from RNAcentral. Lineage: Eukaryota; Metazoa; Chordata; Mammalia; Rodentia; Cricetidae.
CGAAGAGAAGGCGUCCAUGAAGGGGCGGAGCCAGGUCUUAGGGGCGUGAACAAACAAGCAGGGCGUGAUGCGGCCGCAGGAGAGGACCUGGUCUGGACAGAGAGGUGGGACGUGGUAGCGAGAGGAGGCGUGGUCAGGCAUCUCAUCAUGUGUCCAUGGCUUGUUUGAGUUUACCAUACGCUACCAACUUCUGAGCUCUUCUCAGCAAUAUUAGAACUUGAAAAGGCAUAUUAAUCUUUCAGAAACCCCACUGAAUCAAAAGAUUUCCAUUAAAAAAAUUCUGCUGAAAGAUGACUGCUACCUUGGCCCACAGAGUCUUACCUCCACAGAUGUGAGCCUCAGCUUCAUGCUCCUGCUGCCAUGUUUGCAUCCCACCAUCAUGGACUCUAACUCUCUGAAACUGGGAACACAAAUAGACUCUUCUAUAAGUUGCCUUGGUCAUGGUUUUGAAACAGCAAUAGAAAAGCAAUCAAUACAUAAGCCGAGUUCACUACAGACAGCACUGAGGUUGAUCUUAAUUCAGG